RNAcentral lists this ribosomal RNA (433 nucleotides) under uncultured bacterium. RNAcentral's name for it is "partial 16S ribosomal RNA". It matches the Rfam family "Bacterial small subunit ribosomal RNA", at positions 29 to 507 of the family's 1533-position model. The record is from RNAcentral.
AACGAACGCUGGCGGCAUGCCUAACACAUGCAAGUCGAACGAGACCUUCGGGUCUAGUGGCGCACGGGUGCGUAACGCGUGGGAACCUGCCCUUAGGUUCGGAAUAACUCCCCGAAAGGGGUGCUAAUACCGGAUAAUGUCUUCGGACCAAAGAUUUAUCGACUUUGGAUGGGCCCGCGUUGGAUUAGCUAGUUGGUAGGGUAAAAGCCUACCAAGGCGACGAUCCAUAGCUGGUCUGAGAGGCUGAUCAGCCACACUGGGACUGAGACACGGCCCAGACUCCUACGGGAGGCAGCAGUGGGGAAUAUUGGACAAUGGGCGAAAGCCUGAUCCAGCAAUGCCGCGUGAGUGAUGAAGGCCUUAGGGUUGUAAAGCUCUUUUACCCGGGAUGAUAAUGACAGUACCGGGAGAAUAAGCUCCGGCUAACUCCGUG